AGCAGCCGCGGUAAUUCCAGCUCCAAUAGCGUAUAUUAAAGUUGCUGCAGUUAAAAAGCUCGUAGUUGAAUUUCGGGACCAAUAUGUCGGUCGUGCCUCGGUACGCACUGGCUUAUAGGUUUCUCCCUUCUGACGAACCAUGAUGUCAUUAAUUUGGUGUCUUGGGGAAUCAGGACUGUUACUUUGAAAAAAUUAGAGUGUUUAAAGCAGGCUCACGCUUGAAUACAUUAGCAUGGAAUAAUGAAAUAGGACGUUUGAUUCUAUUUUGUUGGUUUCUAGGAUCGACGUAAUGAUUAAUAGGGAUAGUUGGGGGCAUUAGUAUUCAAUUGUCAGAGGUGAAAUUCUUGGAUUUAUUGAAGACUAACUACUGCGAAAGCAUUUGCCAAGGAUGUAUUCAUUAAUCAAGAACGAAAGUUAGGGGAUCGAAGACGAUCAGAUACCGUCGUAGUCUUAACCAUAAACUAUGCCGACUAGGGAUCGGAUGAUGUUAAUUUUUUAAUGACUCAUUCGGCGCCUUACGG
RNAcentral lists this ribosomal RNA (521 nucleotides) under uncultured Glomus. RNAcentral's name for it is "SSU rRNA". It matches the Rfam family "Eukaryotic small subunit ribosomal RNA", at positions 569 to 1093 of the family's 1831-position model. The record is from RNAcentral. Lineage: Eukaryota; Fungi; Glomeromycota; Glomeromycetes; Glomerales; Glomeraceae.